AAAAUUGUAUUCCUGUAUAUACUCCACACACUUUAUGUGUUAAUAUUUUUAUACACAUUAUACUAUGUAGUUUUAAAAAUCUGACAAUGUGUUUUAAUAACUCACUUUAUGUACAUAUAGCAUCAUUAAUAAGCAUUAUAUUAUAUGCAUAUAUAUACACAUACACGUGUGUGUGUAUAUAUAUAUUUUCUUUUAAAAAGCAUUGAGAAGGAAAGGGAAUAAUUCUAAAUGUAUAGAGAUUAUCAUAUCAAAUUUCUUAUUUAACCUUGUGGUUCCCUUCAUAUAUUUCU
RNAcentral lists this long non-coding RNA (290 nucleotides) under Pan troglodytes (chimpanzee). Its description in RNAcentral is "long non-coding RNA NONPTRT013965". Lineage: Eukaryota; Metazoa; Chordata; Mammalia; Primates; Hominidae. The record is from RNAcentral.